GAUGAACGCUGGCGGCGUGCCUAAUACAUGCAAGUCGAGCGAACAGACGAGGAGCUUGCUCCUCUGACGUUAGCGGCGGACGGGUGAGUAACACGUGGAUAACCUACCUAUAAGACUGGGAUAACUUCGGGAAACCGGAGCUAAUACCGGAUAAUAUAUUGAACCGCAUGGUUCAAUAGUGAAAGACGGUUUUGCUGUCACUUAUAGAUGGAUCCGCGCCGCAUUAGCUAGUUGGUAAGGUAACGGCUUACCAAGGCGACGAUGCGUAGCCGACCUGAGAGGGUGAUCGGCCAAACUGGAACUGAAACACGGUCCAGACUCCUACGGGAGGCAGCAGUAGGGAAUCUUCCGCAAUGGGCGCAAGCCUGACGGAGCAACGCCGCGUGAGUGAUGAAGGUCUUCGGAUCGUAAAACUCUGUUAUUAGGGAAGAACAAAUGGGUAAGUAACUAUGCACGUCUUGACGGUACCUAAUCAGAAAACCACGGCUAACUACGUG
RNAcentral lists this ribosomal RNA (497 nucleotides) under uncultured bacterium. RNAcentral's name for it is "partial 16S ribosomal RNA". It matches the Rfam family "Bacterial small subunit ribosomal RNA", at positions 28 to 507 of the family's 1533-position model. The record is from RNAcentral.